GGAAUUUUGGGCAAUAGGCGAAAGCCUGACCCAGCAACGCCGCGUGAAGGAUGAAAUCCCUCGGGAUGUAAACUUCGCAAGAACGGGAAGAAUAAGUAGGGGACAAUACCCCCUAUGAUGACGGUACCGUUUGUAAGCUCCGCCUAACUCCGUCCCCGCAGCCGCGGUAAUACGGGGGGAGCAAGCGUUGUGCGGAUUUACUGGGCGUAAAGGGCGCGUAGGCGGUCAGCACAAGUCAGUUGUGAAAUCUCCGAGCUUAACUCGGAAAGGUCAACUGAUACUGUGCGACUAGAGUGCAGAAGGGGCAACUGGAAUUCUCGGUGUAGCGGUGAAAUGCGUAGAUAUCGAGAGGAACACCUGCGGCGAAGGCGGGUUGCUGGGCUGACACUGACGCUGAGGCGUGAAAGCUAGGGGAGCGAA
Molecule: ribosomal RNA, 420 nt
Filed under: uncultured bacterium
Lineage: Bacteria
Description: bacterial SSU rRNA
Rfam family: Bacterial small subunit ribosomal RNA
Source: RNAcentral